This 74-nucleotide transfer RNA is filed under the name Methanosarcinales archaeon. RNAcentral's name for it is "tRNA-Thr". It matches the Rfam family "tRNA". Rfam says of the family: Transfer RNA (tRNA) molecules are approximately 80 nucleotides in length. Their secondary structure includes four short double-helical elements and three loops (D, anti-codon, and T loops). The record is from RNAcentral. RNAcentral also lists the same sequence under 1 other name. Lineage: Archaea; Methanobacteriati; Methanobacteriota; Methanomicrobia; Methanosarcinales.
GCCUCGGUAGCUCAGCCCGGUAGAGCGAGUGACUUGUAAUCACUAGGUCGGGGGUUCAAAUCCCCCCCGGGGCU